Molecule: long non-coding RNA, 191 nt
Organism: Astyanax mexicanus (Mexican tetra)
Lineage: Eukaryota; Metazoa; Chordata; Actinopteri; Characiformes; Acestrorhamphidae
Exons: 3
Source: RefSeq, a predicted model, not a curated record
GACUGUAGCCUAUACUAUAGCCUAGGUCACAGCCUGUACUGUAGCCUAGGGCACAGCCUAUACUAUAGCCUGGACUCUAGCCUAGGUCAUAGCCUAGACUGUAGCCUAGGUCAUAGCCUGGACUGCAGCCUAUACACUAUAGCCUGGAUUAUAGCCUAGGUCAUAGUCUAGGCCGUAGCCUAGGUUGCAGC